GGAGAUAUAUAUGGGGGGGAUGGUACUGCUUUGAAAACAAUAUUAGAUAUGUGGUCGGACUGGGCACUCGUAUCAAGUUUUGGCAGGAUGUCUGGCGUUGAGAGCGUUCUUUGGAGAGGGCCUUCCCAACUCUUUAUAACAUUGCGGCUAAUAGGGAGGCUACGAUAGCAGAUCUGUGUGUGUUUGCCCAAGACUCUUACCAUGGCCUUUUUUGUGUGGACUGCUGCACUUGGAAAAAUUCUAACCACGGAUAAUUUAAGGAAGAGGGGCCUCAUCGUGAUGGAUUGGUGUUAUUUGUGCAAAAAACAUGAAGAAUCAGUGGACCAUCUACUAUUGCAUUGUGAGGUGACGAAAGAGUUGUGGAAUGGGAUAUUUAGUAGGGUGGAUGUAGCGUGGGUUAUGCUGGCAAAGGUGGUUGACUUGUUUGCUUGUUGGAAGGGUCUACAAGGUUGUUUACAGGGAGCAGCAGCUUGGAAGAUGAUCCCAUUGUGCAUUAUGUGGUGUAUUUGGAUGGAAAGGAAUGCACGAUGCUUUGAAGAUAGGGAGCGAACAAUGGAGGAGCUUCAGAAUUUUUUUCUGCACACUUUACUCUUAUGGUUCUCAGCCAUUGUUCUUAAUGGAAAUAGUGUACAUGAGUUCUUAGCUUUAAUUUAGUUUUUUAAGAAUGUAUUUAGGUGUUUUCUAUUGUAUACUCCCUGUGUAUAUAGGCCAUGCCUAUUUUCAUUCAUAUUAAUGAAAAUUACUUUUUACUGAUGAAAAAAAAAAAAAAAAAAAGUUUGAGGCCCUUCACAAUGUAAUACAACCAAAGCUUAAGGUGCCUUAGAAGUUUUCCAUCCCCACAAGUUCUUUGUCUCCAGAUUCGGUUUAUAUUUCUUUUCUCCUUGCGAGAAUCUAUCUAGCACAGAAGGGCCCAAAUUGGAGGUAGCAAUAGUCCCCUAAGAACCAAAUUUUGUGCAAGUGGAUGGUCUUCCAUUUUGGUAUGGAUGUUGACUUGGUAGCUGAUCCUGUAGACAAAGUGACCUUUCAUAUGCCUUUAGUUGCGAUAAGGUUUUGACAUUACCCAUGGGUUAUAUUAUGAGGUUGAAUCUGGCCCUCAAGAGACACGAGUUUAAAGUGAAGUUAUACUAUAAGGUUUUGGCAUUACCCAUAGGUUUCCCUUUUCCCUUGGAAGAGCAUUUGGAGAGUGAAGGCCUCUUCAAGAGUGGCUUUCUUCAUGUGGACGAUGGCAUUGGUAAAGAUUUUGAUUGGACUUCAUGAGGAAGCAGAAUAUCACUUUGGUGGGAUGUUGUUGUAUGUGAUGGAAAAAUGGUAAAUGCAUUGAACAUAUUUUUCUUCAUUGUGAUGUAGCGAGAAAUUAUGGUGUUUGCUAUUCAAGGAAUUUGGUGUUGAGUGGAUUAUGCCUAGAAGGGUGAUUGAAUCGUUAGUGAGGUGGAGAGGAUAGCAGGGACAUGAUAUAGUUUUGGUAGCAUGGAGGUUGGCUCUUUUAUUUGCUUAAUGUGAUGUAGUUGGAGAGAGCAGAAUGCAAGGACCUUUGAAGAUAAUAAAAAAAAAAUAAUAAUAAUAAUAAUAAUAAUAAUAAUAACAAAGCUUCAGUGGUAGAGCUGACAAAGAUCACCCCCAACACCCUUUACUCAUGGAUAGUAGCACAUGAUACUGUGCUUUUUCUUGCUUUUCAGAAUGUUUAAAUUAUUGAUUUUAUUCUGCAUAGGGGCUCUCUUAUAUACAUCCUGGUUUGGUUUGGUAGAUGAGAUGAUCUCAUCUCAUAUAAUCAUUACCACUUUUCCAAACUCCUACACAAAAUACAAUAAACAAUUCAAAUUUUUAAAUCCCAAAACAAAAAUUAUAUUAAAAAAUUAUAUUCUAAUAAUAUUUUAUUUAAC
Molecule: long non-coding RNA, 1880 nt
Organism: Juglans microcarpa x Juglans regia
Lineage: Eukaryota; Viridiplantae; Streptophyta; Magnoliopsida; Fagales; Juglandaceae
Exons: 3
Source: RefSeq, a predicted model, not a curated record